GAAGAAGCCACCCAAUGUGAGAAAGAAAUAAGCAACGGGGGUGAUGUCCGUCUUUAUGCCCAGCAAAGCCAGCCCCAGUAGGAAGGAGGUGCAGCACAGGAGGAGAAGCGGCUUCUCCAGUCUCCCCAGUUCUUCAAUCUCAAAUCAAAUAAAUCAUCUGUAGAGUCCCCUCCAGUUCCGAAAUUCUCUCUAUGUCUUGGAGUGUGUGGAAUAGCCAGGAAACCAGCCCAGGAGCUUUGACUCCCAGCCAUUCUUGUCAGCCCAUGCUCCAGGUGGAGGGAGAAAGUGCACACAGGCGCACCAAAGCCACAGGGACACAACUGCUUGAGAAACAAUUGUACAGGCAAAGGCCCAGCACAAUGGCCGGAGGCCCUGAUAACUCCUGUCCUCUUCUAGACCCC
This is a long non-coding RNA of Gorilla gorilla gorilla (western lowland gorilla), 401 nucleotides long. RefSeq lists it as uncharacterized. The record is from RefSeq and is a predicted model, not a curated record. Lineage: Eukaryota; Metazoa; Chordata; Mammalia; Primates; Hominidae. The transcript is spliced from 3 exons.